RNAcentral lists this ribosomal RNA (433 nucleotides) under uncultured Persicobacter sp. Its description in RNAcentral is "partial 16S ribosomal RNA". It matches the Rfam family "Bacterial small subunit ribosomal RNA", at positions 341 to 792 of the family's 1533-position model. The record is from RNAcentral. Lineage: Bacteria; Pseudomonadati; Bacteroidota; Cytophagia; Cytophagales; Persicobacteraceae.
ACGGGAGGCAGCAGUGGGGAAUAUUGGGCAAUGGGCGCGAGCCUGACCCAGCAAUGCCGCGUGAAGGAAGAAGGCUUUCGGGUUGUAAACUUCUUUUAAGUGGGACGAUAAUGACGGUACCACUUGAAUAAGCUCCGGCUAACUACGUGCCAGCAGCCGCGGUAAUACGGAGGAUCCGAGCGUUAUCCGGAUUUAUUGGGUUUAAAGGGUGCGCAGGCGGCUUUUUAAGUCAGUGGUUGAAUCGUGACGCUCAACGUCAUCACGCCAUUGAUACUGGAGAGCUUGAUUGCGGUCGAGGUUUGCGGAAUUCGUUGUGUAGCGGUGAAAUGCAUAGAUAUGACGAAGAACACCGAUUGCGUAGGCAGCAGACCAGGCCGUAAAUGACGCUCAUGCACGAAAGUGCGGGGAUCGAACAGGAUUAGAUACCCUGGUA